Molecule: ribosomal RNA, 599 nt
Filed under: Bradysia amoena
Lineage: Eukaryota; Metazoa; Arthropoda; Insecta; Diptera; Sciaridae
Description: partial 12S ribosomal RNA
Source: RNAcentral
CAAUUAAUAUAAAUAAAUUUUUUUAAUUUUGGUUAUAAUUUUAAUAAUUAUAAUAUUUUAUGAUUUAAUUAAGUUAAAUUUUUAAUUUAUAAUAAGUUGUAAGUUAAUUUUAUUAUAAACCAGUAAACUUUAAUUAUAAACUAGGAUUAGAUACCCUAUUAUUUAAAGCAUAAUAAAUAAAAGUUAAAUUAGUAUUAGUUAUAUUCUUAAAAAUUAAUAAAUUUGGCGGUAUUUUAUUCUAUUCAGAGGAAUUUGUUUUAUAAUUGAUAUUACACAUUAAAUCUUACUUAAUUUAUUAAAAUUUGUAUAUCGUCGUCAUAAGAAUAUCUUAAAAGAGUUAAAAUAUUCUAAAAUUUUUAUUAAAAAUUAUGUCAGAUCAAGGUGCAGUUUAUAAUUAAGAAAAAAUGAAUUACAAUAAAUUUAUUUAUAAUGAAUAUUUUAUUUAAAAAUAAAAUUGAAGGCGGAUUUGAUAGUAAUUUUUUUUUUUAGAAAAAUAUAUUGAAUAUAGUUUUAAAAUAUGCACAUAUCGCCCGUCGCUCUUAUUAAUAUAUAAGAUAAGUCGUAACAUAGUAAAGUUACUGGAAAGUGUCUUUAGAAUU